AUACUCUGGUUUCCCUUCAGAUGGUAGAAAUCUUUCACCUUUUACUAAAGAUUUCUGUGGAGAGGAACAAUUCUGAAUAUUAACCCAAUUUUUUGAGGCCCUGAGUCUGCUGGCUA
This is a small nuclear RNA of Microcebus murinus (gray mouse lemur), 116 nucleotides long. Its record names the gene U5. It matches the Rfam family "U5 spliceosomal RNA". From Rfam's summary of the family: U5 RNA is a component of both types of known spliceosome. The precise function of this molecule is unknown, though it is known that the 5' loop is required for splice site selection and p220 binding, and that both the 3' stem-loop and the Sm site are important for Sm protein binding and cap methylation. The record is from Ensembl. Lineage: Eukaryota; Metazoa; Chordata; Mammalia; Primates; Cheirogaleidae.